This 1886-nucleotide long non-coding RNA is filed under the name Homo sapiens (human). RNAcentral's name for it is "HSALNT0213652". The record is from RNAcentral. Lineage: Eukaryota; Metazoa; Chordata; Mammalia; Primates; Hominidae.
UAUUAACCAUACUUGUUUUAAAUCCUGGUCUGAUAAUUCCAAGAUCCCUGGCAUAUUUGCUUCUGAUGCUUGUUCUGUCUUUUCAAGUUGUGUUUUUUGCCUUUUAGUAUGCUUGGUAAUUUUUUUUUUUUUUUGAUAGCUGGCCAUAACAUACCAGAUACAUGGAAUUGUUGUAACUAGACCUUUAGUAAUGUGAUGGUAAGGUGUAAGGGGAGGAAAAGUGUUCUACAGUCUUGAGAUUAGGUCUUUCAGUGACCCCAGGCCUCUGGGUUAUGAAUUUCACAAGUGUUUCUCAAUAUUUUUCUUCUUUCUUAGAUAGGACAGGAUGGCUACCAUCGGAUAGAGUUGAAUAUUUCCCUUCUCCCAUGUGGAAGGCUAGAGCUGGCUGGAGUUGGGUAUUUCUCUUCUCUCAGGUCAUUUCGGCUUUGAUUGUAUCCCAGCGGGUUUCGUUCUGGUUAACUAGUUUCUCCUGAGGACAGGCCUUGUUAAAAGAACAGAGUGCUCUAGUGUAUUUCAAUUUUUUUUUUUCUCCUCUCCCUGCAGGAAGCUGGAUGGGAUUUUCUCAAGUACUUACCCUAAGAAGAAUCUGGUCAAGCUCCUGGAGGCAAAACUCAGAAAAAUACGACAGCCUCCCACGACUAGGUCCUUCUGGAAUUUUUAACUCUCAGACUUGCUCACACAGAGCCUCUAGCAAUUUGUUAAUUACAGUUCAGAUUUUUUUUUCAACUCAGGCUAUGGUUCCUGCAGUGAUUUCCACUUGUAAGUUUCCUGUCAGUCCUUCUUCUAGCUCAUUGUAGAUGCUAUGAUGAAUUCAGAGGAUGGUGAACAAGAUUCUAUAUGCAUCCUUUUCACUCUUCUGAUGACACAUCACUUGAAUAGCUUCAUGGGAAGCUCUCUUAGGAAACAAGGCCUUGAAAUUUCCCUCACAUACUAGCCCCAGUGGACCCUGUCUCUAUUCCAUAGAAAUGUUGCCCAGAAAUGAGCUCAUAGACCUUCUCAUCAUGGCCAGAGGCAAGCAGUACUGUCUGGGACACCAGGAGCAGAGGUCAGAGGCAAGCUCAACUUUCCUGAAAUAAUGUGCUGAUAUUUCCACUGCGAAAGAUCGGUCAUAGAUGGUGCCUAAAACUGACUCAGCUCUGGCCAGGGCAUAAGAGAGAAUGGGUUCUUGAAACUCCUUAAUCUCAUCGUCCAGAAUGGCCAAGGAAGUCAGUCAUUGUGGACUUCCCCUCUUGUGUCUCGGCCUCCUGUUCCUCACUGACUCUCUGGGUUCUACCCAGACUUCUGGGCCUCAUGCUCCACCAAUACUUAAAAUAAAAUGGUAGGCAGAAUGUCAUUGCACUUGACCUGGUCAUUUUCUUUUCAGGAAAACUCCCAUUCACAGUUUUACUCCCACAAGUUCAGAGGGAUCUACCCAACACUUGGCUGUAGCUGCUGGAUAUGUGACUGAGACAAUAGAGAUCAAGCGAAAUCACUUAGUAAAGGAGAUGUUAUUUGGUCUGAGUCCUGUGCCAGCCCUUACUGCUUUUGUACAUUGCCUGUGUUGUGCGUGGAUACCAAAGGGUUAUUUGAAGGAAUAAGCCAUUUACCUGCAUCCUUUUUGGCAGUGCAUAACUCAAGAUCUCUGUGAAACUUACUGGAAAUGAUUAAAACACAGAUACACUCUCUAGGAAGAUGUCAUGUACUUUUUGAUGGAAAGCCAAGGCAGGUCAGAAUGGAUGCGCCGAAUAAUUUCUGUUUGGAUUUUAUCACCAUCAUCAUCAUUAUCACUAGUAUCAUUAUAAUCUCCACUUUUUGCUUCUUUCUUGAGUUUUAUAUAUUUUGAUUAUUUAAUCAAGGAGAAUGUUUUUACCCUGUCUUAAAGGCUUUUAGGCAGUCUAGUCCAUCAG